RNAcentral lists this ribosomal RNA (253 nucleotides) under uncultured bacterium. Its description in RNAcentral is "partial 16S ribosomal RNA". It matches the Rfam family "Bacterial small subunit ribosomal RNA", at positions 524 to 776 of the family's 1533-position model. The record is from RNAcentral.
UACAGAGGUCUCAAGCGUUGUUCGGAUUCAUUGGGCGUAAAGGGUGCGUAGGCGGCGCGGUAAGUCGGGUGUGAAAUCUCGGGGCUUAACUCCGAAACUGCAUUCGAUACUGCCGUGCUUGAGGACUGGAGAGGAGACUGGAAUUUACGGUGUAGCGGUGAAAUUCGUAGAUAUUCGGAGGAACACCAGUGGCGAAGGCGGCUCACUGGCUCGAUACUGACGCUGAGGUGCGAAAGCGUGGGGAGCAAACAGG